Long non-coding RNA from Haliotis rubra (blacklip abalone), 834 nucleotides. RefSeq lists it as uncharacterized. The transcript has 7 exons. The record is from RefSeq and is a predicted model, not a curated record. NCBI's taxonomy places the organism in Eukaryota, Metazoa, Mollusca, Gastropoda, Lepetellida, Haliotidae.
CCUUGGCCAAAUAAAAAAAAUUCACAACCUGUGCCUGUUUUGUUUUAGCACGUCGAAAUAUUCAUAGCUUUAUUUGUUAAUGAGAGGUCCUCAAUCUUCAUGAAGAUGGCGGGCUCUUCGGAAAUUGACACAAUCGCAAGUUCUGUGCAGCGAAAAAUCGACCAAAUGGACACCAGCGACAUUGAGCGAGUAUGUCCGCAUUACACCAACAGACAGACAUGACUGGACACCACGGACAGCGUGGAGAAGCAGCGACAUCCCUUGACCAAGGGAGGGAACUCACAGGGCUGGGAUCGCAGCUGAAUGCACAGGUGAUACAGCUUGAACAAGAGAUUGCAGACCUUGAGGUGAAGAUUGACCUUGAAAGAAAGAUCCUUUGGGAAGGAGGGAAGACUUCCAGGGCUUGGUUGGGAGAUUCUGGACGAUAUCAGCUCUGAGCCUGGAGGAGGUGCAGGAGGAGAUCGACAAGCUGGAGGAAAUGUUGGACAUGAACCAAAACUGACUGGUCUGCAGUUCAACACUACAAACUGGAUCCCAUUACAACAAGACCAGAAUGUGUUGAACAGGCAGCAUUUCAUUGAAGGUUUCUGUAAUGGGACCCCUUCCAACUUACAUACGACAUACUGGAGGAUUUUAGGCGUCAAGAGUCAAGGUCACGAAGGUCGCGGAGGUCACACUGUAUGUGGAGGAUGACAUUGAGGCUACAAUAGGGACACAGCUGCAGGAGCUGACUGAGGACCGAGAAAUACCAGGCUUUUCACAAUUCUUGUUUCCUUCUUGCGAUGCGUAGAGGAGGCGAGAGGAGGUGAUGAACCACUGCAUUGAGAACUACCC